This 236-nucleotide ribosomal RNA is filed under the name uncultured bacterium. RNAcentral's name for it is "partial 16S ribosomal RNA". It matches the Rfam family "Bacterial small subunit ribosomal RNA", at positions 118 to 347 of the family's 1533-position model. The record is from RNAcentral.
UGAGCAAUCUGCCCUUCUCAUCGGAAUAAGCGUUGGAAACGACGUCUAAUGCCGAAUACGACCUCCUUUCGCAUGAUCGGAGGUGGAAAGCUCCGGCGGAGAAGGAUGAGCUCGCGGCCUAUCAGCUAGUUGGUGUGGGUAAUGGCCCACCAAGGCGACGACGGGUAGCCGGCCUGAGAGGGUGACCCGGCCACACGUGGGACUGAGACACGGCCCAGACCUCCGUACGGGAGCAG